This is a non-coding RNA of Petromyzon marinus (sea lamprey), 145 nucleotides long. The record is from RefSeq and is a predicted model, not a curated record. Lineage: Eukaryota; Metazoa; Chordata; Hyperoartia; Petromyzontiformes; Petromyzontidae.
AUAACAGGAAGCUGCUGCUCCGCCCGUGCACAGAAAUCCGAGGCCAAGCCCGUUUGAGCUGCUGUGCCGCUUUUGUUUUCAGAAGUGACCUGCCCACAACACAAGAAUUUGUCUGAUGGAGCAAAGGCACUCGGCGCAGCUCGGU